RNAcentral lists this ribosomal RNA (370 nucleotides) under unidentified archaeon. Its description in RNAcentral is "bacterial SSU rRNA". It matches the Rfam family "Archaeal small subunit ribosomal RNA", at positions 90 to 462 of the family's 1478-position model. The record is from RNAcentral.
UCAGUAACACGUAGUCAACAUGCCCAGGGGACGUGGAUAACCUCGGGAAACUGAGGAUAAACCGCGAUAGGUCACUACUUCUGGAAUGGGUAAUGACCCAAACCUAUAUGGCCCNCUGGAUUGGACUGCGGCCGAUCAGGCUGUUGGUGAGGUAAUGGCCCACCAAACCUGUAACCGGUACGGGCUCUGAGAGGAGGAGCCCGGAGAUGGGCACUGAGACAAGGGCCCAGGCCCUAUGGGGCGCAGCAGGCGCGAAACCUCUGCAAUAGGCGAAAGCUUGACAGGGUUACUCUGAGUGAUUUCCGUUAAGGAGAUCUUUUGGCACCUCUAAAAAUGGUGCAGAAUAAGGGGUGGCAAGUCUGGUGCCAGC